This 251-nucleotide ribosomal RNA is filed under the name uncultured bacterium. Its description in RNAcentral is "partial 16S ribosomal RNA". It matches the Rfam family "Bacterial small subunit ribosomal RNA", at positions 524 to 776 of the family's 1533-position model. The record is from RNAcentral.
UACGAGGGGGCUAGCGUUGCUCGGAAUCACUGGGCGUAAAGCGCACGUAGGCGGAUCUUUAAGUCAGGGGUGAAAUCCUGGAGCUCAACUCCAGAACUGCCUUUGAUACUGAGGAUCUCGAGUCCGGAAGAGGUGAGUGGAACUCCGAGUGUAGAGGUGAAAUUCGUAGAUAUUCGGAAGAACACCAGUGGCGAAGGCGGCUCACUGGUCCGGUACUGACGCUGAGGUGCGAAAGCGUGGGAGCAAACAGG